Pelobates cultripes (western spadefoot toad) is the source of this 289-nucleotide non-coding RNA. NCBI's taxonomy places the organism in Eukaryota, Metazoa, Chordata, Amphibia, Anura, Pelobatidae. The record is from the annotation of a GenBank genome assembly.
UAUUAAACCACACUGACUGAUGAUCACUGGAUCCUAAACUUUCACCUACAGUAAUAUCUGAUACCAAAUCUCCAUUUGUUAACACUAAAUCUAGUAUGGCCUCUUUACGAGUUGGCUCCUCAACAACUUGUUUUAGAGACAAUCCCAGUAGGGAGUUUAGAAUAUGUGUGCUCCUGCCACAAGUAGCUAAUUUUGUUUUCCAAUUUACAUCAGGAAGAUUAAAGUCACCCAUGAUGAUAACUUCCCCCUUCAUUGUCAUUUUAGCUAUUUCCUCAACUAGUAGAUUAUC